This 56-nucleotide transfer RNA is filed under the name Rhadinocentrus ornatus. RNAcentral describes it as "tRNA-Val". The record is from RNAcentral. Lineage: Eukaryota; Metazoa; Chordata; Actinopteri; Atheriniformes; Melanotaeniidae.
GCUAAACAGAAUAGCAUCUCCCUUACACCUAGAAGUCAUCCGUGCAAGUCGGAUUG